This is a long non-coding RNA of Lutra lutra (Eurasian river otter), 1147 nucleotides long. RefSeq lists it as uncharacterized. The transcript is spliced from 4 exons. The record is from RefSeq and is a predicted model, not a curated record. NCBI's taxonomy places the organism in Eukaryota, Metazoa, Chordata, Mammalia, Carnivora, Mustelidae.
CGCCUGACUGCGCGCCUCCAGCGCUACGCGGCCGCCACCAGGGGGAGCCGCGACCGCCCAGGAACACGCCCCUCCCAGACUUCCACUCGGCUCGGGACCGAAUCGCGGCCCGAAACUCCGAGCGCAGGGAUACGGCGCCCACGUACGGCGCGCGUAUGGAGAAUAUUGCCGGGCGCACGCGCACGGACAUGUACUUCGUCCCUCGCAGCGCGCACGCGGCUAGAGACAGGUGCGCGCGCGCCUGCGAGGAAGCGGCCUGUUUGCGUCCCUCGAGCUUGCACUGAGUGAUCGCCGACCCUCUUUGCGGCCAAAGGCUUAUGGCACAUGCCCUUGAAGGGAUUGGAGCUUGGCAGAAGAGUUGCAGAAUGCUGGAAUUACCGUACCAACUAAAUGGGACCCACUAAAUGGCCUCUAAGUCUUAGUGAUCUAAUGAAGCCCCUUUAGAAGGGUGAGGGUUGGUGGGGGGGGUAGUUUGGGGUUUUUUGUUUUGUUUUGUUUUUAGUGUAUUCGCAUAGUGUUUAAGACCUAGUCGGGAAAAGAUCAAUGUCGGGCACCUAUGUUUGUUACCUGUAGUUUGACCUUGGCUAAGAGACUUACCUUCUCACAGCAUUCAUUGGUUAGAGAGUUGGAGAACAGGAGUUAGGAUGAGAAUAAGAUGAAAGAAAAUAUCUAGCAAAUCAUCAAAGUACCGUUAAUGUUGGAUCUUGCACUUCAGUUCUUUAGAUGAUGACUUUUUCCAACCUGGCCCCUUCUCCCUGCCAGCCCCAAAGAGGAUCCCUGCUACGACUUUGAGGUUUAAGGUCAUUCAGAUGCAUCAGCUUGUUCCGGCAGAACCUCUUCUCUCCCAAACGGUCUGACCAGCAGAUUGUGGCUGAAGUAGUGCUGUGCAGGUUAUGAAGUUCAGCCCUCAAGAGGCCUUGAAGUUUCCAUCUUCACCAUCCUGCCUCCAGUUUCCCUCUGGAAACAACCUCUAAUCAGAGCACACCUGAAACCUCUUUUUUUUUUUUUUUCCAUGACAAAGCUUCCCACUCCCUUGUCUGCCUUUGAGUUUCGCCAAAGUGGAGAUCAGACAGCUACUAAUGGCUCUAAAACACUUUGCACAUUCUGAAAUGGGAAUUGUCAGAGGAUCUAGUUUAGAGGAGAAAAU